GCCGCCAUAACUCAGUUGGUAGAGUGUCUGGCUGUUAACCAGGUUGUCACAGGUUCGAGCCCUGUUGGCGGCG
This 73-nucleotide transfer RNA is filed under the name Methanotrichaceae archaeon. RNAcentral's name for it is "tRNA-Asn". It matches the Rfam family "tRNA". From Rfam's summary of the family: Transfer RNA (tRNA) molecules are approximately 80 nucleotides in length. Their secondary structure includes four short double-helical elements and three loops (D, anti-codon, and T loops). Further hydrogen bonds mediate the characteristic L-shaped molecular structure. tRNAs have two regions of fundamental functional importance: the anti-codon, which is responsible for specific mRNA codon recognition, and the 3' end, to which the tRNAs corresponding amino acid is attached (by aminoacyl-tRNA synthetases). tRNAs cope with the degeneracy of the genetic code in two manners: having more than one tRNA (with a specific anti-codon) for a particular amino acid; and 'wobble' base-pairing, i.e. permitting non-standard base-pairing at the 3rd anti-codon position. The record is from RNAcentral. RNAcentral also lists the same sequence under 1 other name. Lineage: Archaea; Methanobacteriati; Methanobacteriota; Methanomicrobia; Methanotrichales; Methanotrichaceae.